This 6225-nucleotide long non-coding RNA is filed under the name Sorghum bicolor (sorghum). RNAcentral describes it as "long non-coding RNA (SBIC_LNC016143)". The record is from RNAcentral. Lineage: Eukaryota; Viridiplantae; Streptophyta; Magnoliopsida; Poales; Poaceae.
GAGCUCAUAGGUGGGAGAUAAAGUAUACAUACUUACAAGACAUUUAUUGCAUAGUCAAACCAUGGAUCUAGAGAAACAAUUCAAUAAGUCAAAUCAAGAUGUGCAUGUGUGGCGAAUGAAUGGUGUAUGGUGAUGAUGGUGAUAACAAUGGUGAAAGUCUAAUUCUACUUUUUGCUCUUUUGAGGGGAUACAUAGCUUUCUUGCUCUUUGAAACUUUUGAGGAGAAUGAGAUGCUACGGUGGUUCCGGCGGCGCCUCUUCUUCGUGUAUAACUAUAUUCUCUCUCCACACUUGACUCAAUGCUACGGUCUCCUUAGGACAGUUCUAUUUAAGUUGUAUUUCUUCAGACCUUACCACUUCUCCUUCGUAGUCUGCCCAUCCGUCCUUGAUGAUUUGCCUCUUCUGGUUGCAGUUGCGUCGUCUUCUUCUUUUCUUGACCUACUUAGAAUCUUCAACUAUAUAAUUAGGGUCAGUAAAAUAGCGGCGUACCUUCUCAGAGAGGAAGUGCAUGUGGACUUCUCCGGUUCCAAUGUAGAUGAUUGCUUUAACAAUGCUGAGGAAAGGUCUCCCAAGGAUGAUGGGUGGAUCAUACUCGUCUUCGCCCAUGUCAAUAACCUGAAAGUCUGUAUGGACAUAAUGAUCGUCUAUUUUGACAGGACAUCAGUUACUAUACCUUCAACCUUUCGGAAUGUCUGAUCUACCAUCUGGAGUUGAAUGUAUGUCGGUUUUAGUGGCGUGGUUCCGAACAAGAGCCGAUAGGUGACUGCGGCCAUUAUGUUGACGCCUGAUCCGGUGUCGCAAAGCGUUUUGUAGAAGUUGUACCCAUUGAUGGAGCAAUGGAUGCUUGGCAUACCUGGGUCAUCCUCCUUAGUUAAGAAGGGUGACUUAAGUCAAUGAUCUUGACCUCCAUGAACUGCAGUGACCAUCUUAGCUGACUCGGUCCACACUUGCUUGUUCCUGUUCCUCCUGUUGGUCCUCUUCCUUGGUUCAUGUCGGGAUUGCUCUGGGAUUUGUGUAGUCUUGUUCUUGAAGGAAAACGUCUCCUUCCUCCCUUUGAUGUAGAAACUAAUGUUGGCAGCACUAGCGUAGAUGACAGCUCCCGAGGUGUUCAGGAAUAGCCUCCAUAAGAUGACGGGUGCCCUCUCAUCAUUACCGCUCUCUAUCACCACGAAGUCUGCUGGGGCGUACUGUUGACACUAGCUAACACCACUUAGAUACUAGGUUGUCAUCCCCAGCAUGGUGCCAGAGUGUAUGAAGGUAUUUAUGAAUGUAAAGGCUCUCUAGAAAAUAAUCUAUUCUAUCCGCAAGCGCACAGAUAAAACACCUCAUUGUAGCAUUUCACUAGGAAAGUAUUCCAGGUAUCGUUAUUUAUAAUUUUGCUCAGGAAAAAGGGUGAAAUGAAGAUAAGGAUAAAUCUAUUAAGGCAUAGACUAGAGAUAAACUUGCAAGAACAUGAUUACUAAAGAAAAACUCGUCACACAGUCACUUACUUUGACAGGGGGUAAGCCAUAAUAAUAAUGAUAAUGUAAUAUAAGCUCAUGGGUAAAUAACACAGCGAUUAGAAAAUAGACUACUCCUCAUAUAUGUAAGGUGACGUCGGAUUAGCUAGAGAAUGGAUUCUAAGUUAUCUACUAUCUACUAAGUCACAAUCUACUCUAGUUAUCUACAAGAUCAUAUAUAGCAUAAAAGACUCUUUAUUCAUGUAUAAGGAACAUUGCUAAAGUAAAUCAGAGCAUCGCAAGACUUACUCCGCAAUACAAAUUCUGCCUGUCCUAUCAACGGAGGGUGGACUAUAUAAGAAUCAACGAAGCUGUCACUAUCGCGAACUACCACACAACCCGGCUGUUGGGUAUUCUUAACAUCAUUACCAAAAGUAGACUUAGUUUUCUAAUUCUAGUAACGGUGCCAAAAAUGCCAAACCUAUCCCUCAUACCACUUAAGCCAAGUUGUCAUCCCCAGCAUGACAUGAGAGACGCGGUAUUGAAAUAUGCAAUUGCUCUUCUAAAUAUAUAAUAAAUGGGAUCUGCAAGCGCAUAGAUUAAUACCGAUGUAGCAUUUUAACUGGGAAGUAUUCCAGGUAUCGUUAUUUAUACUUUUACCACUGGGAAGGGAUUAGCAAUCAUCAAUAUUGAUUACAGAAUAGAAUAUGAGAUUGAGUAUCUAUCAUUGCAUGUAUAAUUGAGAACAGUUAUCUAACUCUUUCAUAGAGGGAUAAGUGUCACAUAAAAGAUAUAAAACAAUGAAUAGUGACAAAGAUAAUUGAUCUGAUCAGCCACAUAUAAAUAUGAUAAGCACCUCAAUUAGAUACUCUAGAAAGUCAUUAGCAUGGUAUUAGAACGAACUCCAAGAAUAUUUCCUAAGUUAUUCUCAACUAUAUAGUCUAGCAUUAUCAUAGUUGGUGCAAGCAUACUUAGCAAUCAUUGCGAGAAAAGACUAAGCCAAUUAUAUAACUAUGAGAAACUAAGAACAAUAUAAUCUUGAAUAUAAACAAGUAGAGCAAAGUCAUAAGCAAUAUAUUGAAGUUGAACAAAGUCAUAUUUAUAAUAUUGAAGAACAAAGAUGAUUAGAAGAACAUUAGAAGAACAAUUAGAGAAUUACCAAGAAUCCUCUUGACAGAUCCGAAAACCAAUCAAACAUUGACUCCUUCUAGUUCUAAUCCUAUGUAGCUAUGCUAAUCUAGAUGUCUAAUUGAUGUGGUGGCUCUAAUCUUGAUCAGAGGCUUCUACUCCCUUGAGGAAUAAUGAAUUAGGGUUGAAAGGCUCUCUCCUCCAGGGGCCAGGGAGUCUGGUUUUAUAGUCCCUUCAAGUGAAUAUGGGCCGUUGGAUCAAACCGACAUUGAUUGAACGGUUAUCCUUGAUCCUUUAGGUCGGUGGAGAUCUUCCCCGAAACAGAGUCCUGAUUGGGCUCGGCAGGAAGGCGGGCGCCCAGGGCAACUGGGCGGGCGCCCAGUGCCUGGCCCCGUUCGGCCUCCGCUUCCUUUCCGUGCCUUCUGGAGUCUUCUAGAUGUAAGAUAAUUGCGCGGCAUGUUGAUAUCUCUAUGUAAUCCCGACGUGUGGGCCUUUCUUCCGUAUUUCCUGAUAACCCCCUGCAGAAAUAGACAAACACCAAAACUCGUGGAAUUCUGUCAGAUAAGACCCUAAGUCUAGAUGUUGAUUUCAUUUGGAUCCUUUUCUUUGUUUAUUUAAUAAUUAAAUUUGAUACUUAAGGACCGUCAACAAACUCCCCCAAGCUUACCUCUUGCUCGUCCCUGAGCAAGGAUAAUCUCAGCGAUGGAUUAGAAGUUGUUGCAAUAUCUUUAGAAAUUGACGGUACACAUGCUUUUAAAUAAGAUCUCAUCUCUGAGUUAGAGUAAACUGUCAAGACUUAAAACUUACUUACUUUACCUUUCACCAGGGGACUUGUAACCGUCACUUCUGUCUUGAGUAGUUAAAAGAUAGAACAGUCUAGUCAAGUGCCAUGUCUCUUAUUCUUGAUCAGCUAUAGCUCUGGAGUUUUUGCAGAUUUUCAAAUAAAACUUAGAGAUUCCUUGUAUGAUUCUCUCAAAUCUCUCUUUUGUGGUAUUUCUGGAUCCUUACCAAGGCAGUGAUGGUAUAUGCCCUUCUCUCAAUAUAUAUGGUAUUUGUGGUAUAAGGCAUAGUGAUAUUGCCUUCUCUCUCACCCUACUCUAAUAAGGCUUUGAUAUCUGGAGCUCAUAGGUGGGAGAUAAAGUAUACAUACUUACACGACAUUUAUUGUAUAGUCAAACCAUGGAUCCAAAGAAACAAAUCAUUAAGCCAAAUCAAGAUGUGCAUGUGUGGCGAAUGAAUGGUGUAUGGUGAUGAUGGUGACAACAAUGGUGAAAGUCUAAUUCUACUUUUGCUCUUUGAGGGGAUACAUACCUUCCUUGCUUUCUGAAAUUUUAUGGGGAGAAUGAGAUGCUCUUCUUUUUCUUUCCUCUCAGGUGGGUAUCUUGUACCCCUAAUUCUACUGUCAGACACUUGUCCAUUUUUACCUCUCGUCUCACUUUUUCUUUUCUUUCGAGGUUCCGGGCACUUGUCCCUUUUUAUUUCCUCGUAUCUUUUUUUCUUUUUUUUCAGAGCACUCAUCUCUUGAGAUAAUAUAGCAAGUGGUAGUAACAAGAUAACUUGAGCAUUUAUUUCAUAAGGGAAAAACAGAAAUAUUUUUGGUUAUUCUCUCCUGGAUUAUGAGUAGAAUAUUUUUGGAUGAUUCUGGAGAUGGAAAUGGGUGGAUAUAUAUGGAUGGUACUUCCGGAAUAGAAGUAGCAUGUGUGAAUGAACGUGCAAGUGAAUCUUGAUUUAACCACAUGAUAAGCUCCUAAGGGUCUACACAGCUUUACCAAACUCAAUGCUCAUAAGCAGAAAAUAGUAAAUGUGUGGCUCAAAGUCGAACAAGCAUGUAUAUAUGGUUGUGGUAGGAAUUUAAACUCUCAUCAUACAGGAACUCAUCAUGUAAUAUUUUAAAGAUUUUAAAAGAUAAAAUUCUCCAGAAUUCUAGCAUCUCUAGGAACAGAUAAACAGCAGCUCAACCUUCCCAUAUCAUAUCCGUUAACAACUUAGACAUCAGAUCAAGUUUUCAUCCCACAAGUUCAGGUUUAGAGCAAGCUUUAAAUUAUAACAGUUAUGUCUAAACUUGAGAGAGAACUUCAAAUUUGAAAAAUUAGACAGAGCAACUAUUCAUCAUAUCCAUGCUAGACUUUUAUUAUUAAGAUUCAGAUUAGCAUAGCCACUUUAUUUAUUUAUUUAACAACCUAAGCAAAAGACAUAUAUAUAAGCACAAAAUCUUUAUUUGGUUUUCCAUAGUUAUAUUUUAAUAUAGUAUAAGUAUAAAGAUAGAUAGAUAAAAAUACUUAGCAGGAUAAAUAGGGGUGCUCUCCCCUAAGCUGAAUUUUGACGUAAUUUCUCUUGAUGUAGCUAGCAGGUGACAGAGGUGUAUUUGAAUGUCAGCAGCAUUCUGACAGCGAUUAGAAUGUCCUCCGUCUGCUAGUCUUCUUGAUUCUUAAAAUCUAUGGAGCUCAAAUAGACAACAAAGCUUGUGGAACUGAUUAAGUGUUAGCAUAAAUAUCUAGCCUUUAUCAUGUUGAGUCUCCUUAAUAAAUGUUACUCCCAAUUUUUUUAUAUUUUUAUUUUAUAAAGUAGAAAAGAAAUAUUUAUUUUAUUUUUAUGCCACCACAGUGAAUGUACUUAUGGGUUUUAUGCCACUCGUAUACUCACAUGGGGCUUACUGUUUUUAACAUUUUUAUUUUCUUUUUAGGAUAGUAUGAACAUGAUUAACUAAAUAAACUAGUUGAAAUAAUUGAAAGGAAAAAGAUAACUACCAAGUUUACCUCUUGGCAAGGCGUUCGGUGUUUUUAAGUCCUCCGAACGGGACUCUCCUCUUUCUCAAUUGUCCUGGGAUUCGUUGGGUGGCGUAGUCGGUACUUCCAGCGGCGCCUCCUCUUCAUGUAUAGUUAUCUUCUCUUUCCAUACCUGACUCGGUGCUACGGUCUCCUCUGGAUAAUUCUGUUUAAACUGUACAUCUUCUGACCUUACAACUUCUCCUGCAUAGUCUGCCCAUCCGUCCUUGAUGAUUUGCCUCCUCUGGUUGCGGUUGCGUCGUUUUCUUACCUGCUUAGAUUCUUCAACGAUAUAGUUAGGGUCAGUAAAAUAACGGCGUACCUUCUCUGAGGGGAAGUGCAUAUGGACUUCUCCGGUUCCAAUGUAGAUGAUUACUUUAACGGUGCUUAGGAACGGUCUUCCAAGGAUGAUGGGUGGAUCGUAUUCAUCUUCUCCCAUGUUAAUAUCCUGAAAGUCUGUGUAGACAAAAUGAUCGUCUAUUUUGACUGGGACAUCAGUUACUGUUUCUUUAACCUCUCGAAACGUCUGAUCUGCCAUCUGGAGCUGAAUGUAUGUUGGUUUUAGGGGUAUGGUUCCGAACAAGAGCCGAUAGGUGACUGCGGCCAUUAUGUUGACGCCCGAUCCGGUGUCGCAAAACGUCUUGUAGAAGCUGUAUCCAUUUAUGGAGCAGUAGAUGGUUGGAAUUCCUGGGUCGUCCUUCUUGGUCAAAAACAGUGACUUAAGUUGAUGAUCUUGACCUCCAUGAACUGCAGUGACCAUCUUAGCUGACUCGGUCCACACUUGCUUGUUCCUAUUCCUCCUGUUGGUUCUCUUCCUUGAUUCUCGUAUGGAUUGAUCUGGGAUUUGUGUAGUCUUGUUCUUGAAGAAAAAUGUCUCCUUCCUCCAUUUGAUGU